RNAcentral lists this ribosomal RNA (111 nucleotides) under Zea mays. The record is from RNAcentral. Lineage: Eukaryota; Viridiplantae; Streptophyta; Magnoliopsida; Poales; Poaceae.
GGAUGCGGUCAUACCAACACUAAUCACCGGAUCCUAUCAAAUCUCUGAAGUUAAGCGUAUUUGGACGAGAGUAAUACUAGAUUGAUGACCUCCUGGCUUGUGCUACAUUCC